Molecule: long non-coding RNA, 2052 nt
Organism: Monodelphis domestica (gray short-tailed opossum)
Lineage: Eukaryota; Metazoa; Chordata; Mammalia; Didelphimorphia; Didelphidae
Source: Ensembl
CUGUGUUUCUCCUGGGAACCUAAGAAUUUCAUUCAUGUCUAAAUCACAGCCAAAAAAUAGAAAGGAAAAAAAGUAGGAGAAAGAGUUCUUAAAUUACAAACAAGCACUCAGUCUAAGAGACCAAAAACAGGGUAGUCUUUAUUUAACUCAAAUUCAAAUCCAAAGGCAUUUGAACCUGAAUUUAUAAACAACAGAGGCAACACUCUUUCCCUGGACUUACACAUUCCAAGGACCUCUAGAGUUCUUCAGGCUUAAAGUACUACCCUUCCUCCUAAAGGAUGAAUUACUGGCUUAAAAUCACCUCCCCUGAACUAAGGCAACUCAUAUUAGUUACAAGGGGACAAAUCAAGGUUGUUGAAACAUUGUUGUUUGUUGUUCUUUGGGUUGGUCUAGGAACUGCCCCACUGCUCCUUGAUCAACACAAGAAUAUCUCCCUUGGCUCUGGAAGAACUGGUCCUGUUACUGCUUUAUCUGACACAAAGUCCCUGCCAUCUUAUGGCCUCUUCCUUUAGCCUUGGGAGGAUGCCCUGGAGGAUUUUUUGAUUUAUUGAAGGGACUUCAUGGACACACAGAUAUCUUUCUGGAGCUCAUUCUGAUUUUGUAUGUCACACAAAACUUUUUUCCAAAACCGGAAACUUUUGUUGUCAAAAGAAUUGAGCUUCUCCUUCGAGCCGGAAUCGAACCAGCGACCUAAGGAUAACCAAGGGCGGGCACCUCUACAGUCCUCCGCUCUACCAGCUGAGCUAUCGAAGGAAGCUGCAAACCCUUGCCCAGGACGACACCAUAAAGCAGCUACGCUGCCUCCUCUCUUCCCACAUGCUGCCUGCCUGCCUGCCUGCCUGCCUGCCAGUGUUUCUCCUAGCUCUCGGAGAAGAAAAUACUUCCACCCCCUCUCCUCUUUCUUCUCUCUCACCUCCCCGCAGCAUCUCCCUGAUAUCGCUGAUGGGUCCUGGAGAAGCUUUCCACAAACUCCCUGGCCGAGCGCCUGUCCUAGGGACCCGAAGGGGGUGGGACGGUCGGAGAGGCUGCUGGGGAGGGGAGGGGGCCUUUAAUCUAGAGGGGCUCUUAUUCUAGAGUGUAGAUUUACCUUGCGUAGGGGAUUUCUAGAAAAUGGAUUGUUCUUAAAAACAAAGCGCCACGUGGGAACUUCGCCCAGAGACCCCUCCCAAGCCGGCGAAAGGCCUUGCUUUGGACUCCUCGUUUCCCUGUUCUCUAUUCGUACUUCGCCUUCUCUUCUCUCCUUAGCUUUUUCUUCAUCCCUGUCUUGCUGACUUCCUCUCUGUUUCCAUCUAUCCGUCGUCUCUCUUCUCUCUGGCCUGUCUCUUCUUUCUUUUCUCUCAGUCUCUACCUCUUUUGUCUUUUUAUUCUAUCAUUGCCCCUUUCUCCGUUUCUGCUCUCUUGCCUUCUCGGUUUCUUCCGUUUCUCUCUCUAGCUGUCUUCCCUCUGCCCAUUUCUUCUUUCUGUCUCGUCUCCUUAGCUGAGUGUUCCCCCUCUGUCUUUGUCUCUUUUCUCUUUGUUUCUCUCUAGCCGUUUCUUCUCGAUUUCUACUUUCUCUUUCUUCCUGACUCUGCCACUAUCUCGUUAUAGAGGUGGCCCUGAUCAACCUUUUAUGUAUUUUUUCAUUGAUCAAGUACAGUAUUCUCCUCUCCCCCCGGGAACAAAAGGAAAAGAAAACUCCAGGAGCAAAUAUGCGCCGCUUCCUUUUAGGGCGUCCCAGCCUUCUUUGGAGUGGAGGGAACUCUUCGGUUUCUUGGUCUACUGAAGCAUCAAACUCCAUUCCACAGCUAAGCGCUGCUGGGACCCUACGGACCUCCCAACUCCCUGCCGCCAAGGGGCUUAUAUUCCACUGGGAAAAUAUGUUCGUACACAGACUAGUUACUAAAGGUAAUUUGAGAAAAUACUCCCUUGCCCUCAAGAUGCUUAUAUUCCCUAGGAGAAGUAUCUAUAAAUACAGACAAGUAAAUAUAAGGGUUAUCUGGAAAGGUUUAUUUAAAUCUGAAAUCUCUACAACUGUACAGUGGAAGGAAAAAAAAUUGGAAAACAUUGUCUCCU